AGUAUAAUUUUGAUUUCAAAGACCUUCAUAAUUGUGUGAAUAUCAAAUUUACUCAUGUACUGGAAAAAGUGCUAUGGAUAUAUGUACAUUAGGGCUGUGCGGUGCACCGAAAAUUCCAAUACAUUGAGUUUUAUACCAUUCGAUUCUAUGUACUGAUUACAAAUUCCGGAUUUCGGUUUGGUUUAGAUUUUGCAUGCACCAAAACAACAAGUAUGGCGGAUGUGCAGACGUGUAUUUUUAUACAACAGAGAAUCAAAUCAUGACUGUUGAGAUUUAACAUUUUCACCACUCAGAUACAUGUACCAACUGGGCAACAGAAUAUGAUCAGCCAGAUCAUUGCAGUGUAUCUUUACAUGAUUUAUGACUUUUCUGUCAGUGCUGGGGAUCGUAGAUGAUGACACAGAUUAAAUGAUUUGACAGUUGAUAUGAGAGAGAAAUUUGUAUGCAGCUUCCAAGUUUUCUGUACCUUUUCCAAAAACAUUCAUUACCCUUGACAUUUAGGAUGCUCACAUUCCUUCUAAAGCCUCAAUUUUCUCAAGAGGGCAGCAACAACAUUGAAGUUGAAAAGAAGGUCUACGCUGCAUUUGUUCGAUAUCUAAGAGAAGUCGCAAGUGGUCGGAGAGAACACUUGUCCUUAGCAAACGUACUACAGUUUGUGACAGGAGCUGAUGAGGAGCCACUACUGGGGUUCAAAAUCCCACCCACUAUCCAGUUUCCAGAAGUCAUGAACUCAUUCAUUCCAACUGCCAACACAUGCAUCAACUCUCUCCAGCUUCCAAGACCAAAACCAGACUUAAAUGUGAACUUUCCUUUAGAUGAAAAGCUAUUUGAAUUAUAUGAUUAUGCUUUCUUAAACCUCUUUUAUGGACUGCAUUAAGUUUUUAACAAAUUUUUAGUCAUUCUCUAUCACCCAAUCAAGUCUCAAUUUUUUUUAUAAGAAUAUGUAACACAAUUAUACAAGUAUCACCACAUACUUAUUACAAAAAAUUCUACAGUUUGUAUGUAGGGUCCAUGGGUACAGCUUUAGGGGAUUUGUUUCAUAAAACUUGCUGAAUUUAAAAGAAAUUUGUUAUAUCAAUAUAAAAUAAUCUUCAUAUAUAGUGAAGAACUAGUAAAGUGCACUGGUCUGGGUCAGGACAGGACUAUUUUUAGUGCAAAGUUUGAUGUAAAUUUACACAAUGUAUCUUAAAAGAUCUUCCUUCAAAAUGUGUAGUAAGAACCUGACCAAUUGAUAUGAAAGCAUUCUUGUAUAAUAAUGCACAUUCAAGUUAGUUCAAAUAUUGGUACCAGGGGAGUUGAUGAGGCCACAAUAGAAUUUCAAAUUUAAAUGUAUAGAAUACCAAAGUUGGCACAAAGCAUCCUUAGGUAAAGGGAAUUCUAAAUUGUUAAAAUAAAGGCCACCUUCCAAGGGGAGAUAAGAAAAGGUAAAAAUAGAGUAGGGUCAUUAAAAAAUCUUCUCAAGAACCACUGGGCCAGAAAAGAUGAAAUUUAUAGAUGAGCUUUAUUAGGUAGUGCAGAUUCUAAAUUGAUAAAAUCAUAGCCCCCGGGGGUUGGAUGGGGCCACAAUAGGGGAUCAAAUUUUUACAUACAAAUAUAUAGGGAAAAUCUUUAAAAAUCUUCUUCUCAAGAACCACUGAGCCAGAAAAGCUGAUUUUUACAUGAAAGCUUUCUGACAUAGUGCAGAUUCAAGUUUUUCAAAUCAUGGCCCCCGGGGGUAGGAUCGGGCCACAAGGGAGGAUCAAAGUUUUACAUAGAAAUAUAUAGGAAAAAUCGUUAAAAAUCUUCUCAAGAACCAUUGGGCCAAAGAAGUUGACAUUUACAUGGAAGCUUUGUGAUAUAGUGUAGAUUCAAGUUUGCAAAAAUCAUGGCCUCCAGGGGUAGGUUGGAGCCAUAAUGGGGACUAAGGUUUUACAUGCACAUAUAUAUGGAAAGUCUUCAGGUAUGGGUCAAGGUGAUUCAGGUGAGCAAUGUGGCCCAUGGGCCUCUUGUUAACUCAUCUGAGUCGAAGGCUCGAGUGAGCUUUUCUGAUCAAAAUUUGUCAGUUGUCUGUCAACGUCGUCGUAAACUUUUCACAUUUUCCUCUUCUCCUGCAGAACUAUUGGGCUAAUUUCAACCAAACUUGGCACAAAGCACCAUUUGGUAAAGGGGAUUCAAUUUUGUUCAAAUGAAGGGCCAUGCCUCUCUCAAAGGGGAGAUAAUCACAAAAAUGCAAAAAUAGGGUGGGGUCAUUUAAAAAUAGUCUUCUCAAGAACCACUGGCAGGGCAAAAACUGUCCAAAAUCAAUUAAUUUUCAAAAAUCCUUUCUUUACAACUACACAUCUACAUGUAUAUGAAAAGCAGGAACGCCUCCACCAAAAUUAUAAAUUCAUAAUACCCUGGAUAGUAGUUUUUGACUCAAUUUAUUAUCAAUAGCAAUAAAGAUGAUGUUAUUUAAAUGUUUUACACAAAUUUCAUAAUCACAGGGGUAGGGAUUUUGGUUUGAGGGUGGGACCAACAUUAUCAUAAUGAUUAUUGUCUUUACUUCUUAAAUUUUACUGAAACUGUAUAAAAACUAAAUGUAUAAUAAAAAACAGCAGAAAAGUACGCACUAAUUUUGAAUUUCAGAACAAGGGUUGUGACUCGAGGGCUGGUCCAAAAUAGCCGUAUAGUGGGUUGGUAACAAGCCAUCCGAUGCGAUUUUGUAACAAUUUAAUCCGUCAUGUUAUAAUGGGGAAUCGCCCCAUAUGGGUGUACUUCUGUUUUGGGCAGUAUGUGGUUGUCUAUAUUGUAGCAGGUCGAAGAUUGUUUUUCCUUUACAUUUAACAUGUGUAUUAUUGUCAAUGCCACAUGUAAUUGAAAUCCAUUACUUUAUGAUUUUUUGUAUUCUACAUCUUGCCAUAAGUUACAGGUAUAACUCUGUCUCAAAGUCCUUCUAGUCAAAAGUCUGGUCAUUUUGUACUUGUAACAUUUUUGCUCUUGGUGUGAAUUACCAUAUAUGUCUUCUUCAUUAUUUAAUGAUUCUGUGUAUAUAUGUUUACAUUUUGUCAUUUAUUGAAUUAAUAAAUGACAGUUUUAAUCACCUUCAUCUGGUGUUCACGUAUGUUGACAUAAAUCAUAUAAUAUGUAGUUUUUCAGUAGUAUGGGCAGUUUUGGGGUAAUUUAUGUUUGCAGAGCACAUCUUGUUUAAUCCUGUUGCCGAAUAUUAGAAUUUAGCUUUGAUAUGCUGAACAAAAAUUCCUCUAGAUUUCAUGGCCCUUGGGACUAAUGAUUCUUUUAACUGAUCCUCGGGUGAUCGAUAAGACCUUUGGGCCUCUUGUUUUAUGCUCGUCUUUAAAUCAGACAUAUUAAGGUACUGUAAUGUCUUUGUCUGCAUGUUUGUCCCCCCAACUCCAACCUAAGUUUUCAUGUUACAAAGUUCUUGUAUAUGUUACAGAAUGUUUGUAUGAGUAUUGAAGAUUUGAAUUACAUUAAGACUAGGAAUUGUUUUGGCUCAAGUGAGCUUUUCUCUUCAAAAUUUGUCCGUUGUCUGGCAUCGGCGUAAACUUUUCACAUUUUCAUUUUCUUCUCCAGAACCACAGGGGCAAUUUCAACCAAACUUGUCACAAAGCAUCCUUGGGUGAAGGGCUUUCAAGUUUGUUCAAAUGAAGGGCCAUGCCUCCUUCAAAGGGGAGAUAAUCACAAAAAUAGGGUGGGGUCAUUUAAAAACUUCUUCUCAAGAACCACUGGGCUGAAAUUGACAUGAAAGCUUCCUGACAUAAUGUAGAUUCAGUUUGUUCAAAUCAUGGCCCCUUGGAGUAGGUUGUGACCACAAUAAGGGAUCAAAGUUUUACAUGGGAAUAAAUAGGGAAAAUUAAAAAUUCUUCUCAAGAACCACUGGGCCAGAAUAGCCGAGAUUUACAUGAAAGCUUCCUGACAUAGUGCAGAUUCACGUUUGUAAAAAUCAUGGUCCCUGGUGGUAUAUUGGGGCCAUAAUAGGGACCAAAGUUUUAAAUGCAAAUAUAUAUGGAAAAUCUUUAGAUAUGGGCCAAGGUGACUGGUGAGCGAUGUGGCCCAUGGCCUCUUGUUUAAUUUGUGAGAAAAAUUGCAGGGUUUUGAAUUACGUAGUUUGCCUGUUUAACUCCUCCUAAAAUGAGUAAGUUAAAAAAAAUCAUACAAAUUUAAUGUAUUGGUAUUAAAGAGCAGCAAAUUGCAAGAGUUUUCAUUUUCCCCAUUUUGAGAAAAUAACUGCUUGCUAAACUUCGUCAUUUUAGAUGAAAUAUUACUUAAGGAGACAAGUGUUUUUUUGUUUUUGCUUCAAAUAUGUUGUGAAGUAUCACUUUUUUAUGCACCUUGUACAUGUAAAGACCAUCACAUGGUUGUGCAAGUCAGCUUUCAGCAACAGGCUUCAUUUUGAUGCAGGAUAUAUUUUUUGUCCAUUCAUAAUAAAUUUUCAUAUUCAUGUAUAUUUCGGACCUGUUUCAUACUGGGUUUUUUAAGAGCAAUAUGGUCAUUUGGUCUCUUCUUUAUUUGUACAUUUAUAAUUGAUAGGAAGCACAAGUAUUUAAGUUAUUAGUGUUUAUGAUUUUUUUAUAUUAACUAAAAAAAACCUUGUCAUAAUUGGGGGGGGGGGGGGGGGGGGGGGGGGGGGGGGGGGGUAAAUAACUUACUGACAAUUAAUUGAACUUUCUAAUGCCAAUACAUGUACUUUGUAUGAAGUGAAUGAUUAUAAAUUUUAUUUAUGAGGAUACCAUCCUAUGGGAGGAAUAAAAAUGUUUCAUCUACACACAUUGAUAGAAAUUGCAGCAAUGUAUCAACAAGCCAAAAGUAGAUGAAACUCAUUUGAGUUGAUCAUUAGGUUUUGUUUGAAUAGAAAACUCUGUGUAAGCUACACUAUUGAUUUGUUACAACAUUAAAUAUAAUUCUAAAA
Ostrea edulis (European flat oyster) is the source of this 4885-nucleotide long non-coding RNA. RefSeq lists it as uncharacterized. The transcript is spliced from 3 exons. The record is from RefSeq and is a predicted model, not a curated record. Lineage: Eukaryota; Metazoa; Mollusca; Bivalvia; Ostreida; Ostreidae.